Notechis scutatus (mainland tiger snake) is the source of this 100-nucleotide non-coding RNA. The record is from RefSeq and is a predicted model, not a curated record. NCBI's taxonomy places the organism in Eukaryota, Metazoa, Chordata, Lepidosauria, Squamata, Elapidae.
GGUAUCAGUCUUUUUAUAGUGUCCCAUGAUACCAUCGAUAAAUAUGAGCCUGAAUCCACUUCCAUCUGGCAAGGCUUCCUUCAACUAGUACCUUGUCAUG